UUAAAUGUGCCGCGCGCACCGUAAAUUUCACGCACCACACAGACAACCGCCAACUGCGCUCGCGCACGUGUUCAUUCAAUAUGGCGAGUGAUGCAUUUGCUGAAGACGCGCGUGUCUACCUGCUCGUGUAUCAUUACUCACCUGUGACACUUUCAUAUAACUGAACAUAAGAACUCUCUAGAAAUAGAAACCGCGAUUAGACUGUAUAAUUCGAGGGUCUAUAUCGUGUAGCUUAUCGAGUUAUUGCGAUAAAAACUGUACAAAACAUGAAAUUGCAUCUUGAGAUUUAUAGUUAUAUUAUCUGAUACGACGCUUUUGGUAACGUGUAAAAUGAUUUUAUAAAACAAAUAUUGAGGUGAAUGCAGUUUGACAUAACGCACACAGUCUAUUUUUGCUGCAUGUUCUUUAUGCUAGAAAUAGAUUUGUGCCCCCGCAUCUCUCUCUCUCUCUCUCUCUCUCUCUCUCUCUCUCUCUCUCUCUCUCUCUCUCUCUCUCUCUCUCUCUCUCUCUCUGCCCCUCCCAUCGCGUUCUCUUUUUCAUUCUGUAGCGUUCAGUCCAUCUUUCUUUCAGCUCUCGCGGUCGGCGCUUGUUUGCCGACGAACAAAACCGAUAAAGAGCAAAUGAAUGAAAGAGACGAGCGCGGUUCACGCGGCGCUCAGAGAAACGCAAACGCGUCACAAUGGAGGGACUAUGAUGAGCGUUUAGAUUUCUGUACACGUCUGAAGGAUGAACAGAUCUUACAGAGUAAUCAGACAGCAUCAGACUCACACAACAUCUCAACUUUCGUCAAUCACUUUUAUUUCAGGCUGAGGAUUUGAGGAUACGCAGAUCAAAAUGAAAAGCAGUUCAUGAGAACAGAAAUGAAGAAAACUAAACUCCGUCACUAUUUGUACAGGCAGACGUGAAGGAUUAUCUGGAGAGAUGUACAGAAGAGAUGAUGGCGAGCGAGGACACUCCAGCUGUAUUCUGCACUUCUCUGGCUCAGUUCACAGUAAUAUAAAGAUGAGCUGCUGUUGUGGAUCUUCAGGACACCGAUCGGGUCAACAGCACCUCUGAACAGACAGAGAGAAAUCAAUCCAGAGAGACUGAUGUAGGGUCAGUCUGUUCAUUCACCGCACUAAACGCUGCAUCACAUCACGUUCAGAUGUGACAGACAAACUCACAUUGAUCAGAGUCCUGAAGACUGACAACAGCAUCACAUCUUCUUCAGCGGUGAAAUUCAAUGCUGAUGGAAACAAACCCAACAUGAGUUUUACAGUGAACAUGUCAUUCUUAAUUCUUCUGAAUGUAUUUAUGCCUUUUAUUUAUAAACACCAUCAGCUCUCACACAGAUGAAUUUAUCAUCUAAAGAUGCACCUGCUGUUAUUUUAUUAGUAUUGGACUCGACAGCAUAACAUCAGCUGAAUGUUUUGAACAUUAUUUCUCACACAAUUAUUUAUUCAAGUGUUUAGUAUGAAUAAAACGAUCUGUAAAUAAUUACUUCAAACCUCCAAAGGUGAAAAUGCAUUUAAUGACCCUCAUGUGAUUCUUGUCUUUUAUCAUCUUUGUGUACACGAGUUACAUUAAAUCAAUAAAGUAUAUAUAAGAUCUGAUUUUAUGUGCUAUGUGUACAGUAUGUUGCUAUAGUUUGACGUCAUGCGUCGCUGCACAGAUCGGUCAGUGUGUGUAUGACAUCAUCAGUGGGCAGUGUG
This is a long non-coding RNA of Misgurnus anguillicaudatus (oriental weatherfish), 1691 nucleotides long. RefSeq lists it as uncharacterized. Lineage: Eukaryota; Metazoa; Chordata; Actinopteri; Cypriniformes; Cobitidae. The record is from RefSeq and is a predicted model, not a curated record.